RNAcentral lists this ribosomal RNA (433 nucleotides) under uncultured bacterium. RNAcentral's name for it is "partial 16S ribosomal RNA". It matches the Rfam family "Bacterial small subunit ribosomal RNA", at positions 29 to 507 of the family's 1533-position model. The record is from RNAcentral.
AACGAACGCUGGCGGCAUGCCUAACACAUGCCAGUCGAACGAGACCUUCGGGUCUAGUGGCGCACGGGUGCGUAACGCGUGGGAACCUGCCCUUAGGUUCGGAAUAACUCCCCGAAAGGGGUGCUAAUACCGGAUAAUGUCUUCGGACCAAAGAUUUAUCGCCUUUGGAUGGGCCCGCGUUGGAUUAGCUAGUUGGUGGGGUAAAAGCCUACCAAGGCGACGAUCCAUAGCUGGUCUGAGAGGAUGAUCAGCCACACUGGGACUGAGACACGGCCCAGACUCCUACGGGAGGCAGCAGUGGGGAAUAUUGGACAAUGGGCGAAAGCCUGAUCCAGCAAUGCCGCGUGAGUGAUGAAGGCCUUAGGGUUGUAAAGCUCUUUUACCCGGGAUGAUAAUGACAGUACCGGGAGAAUAAGCUCCGGCUAACUCCGUG